RNAcentral lists this ribosomal RNA (253 nucleotides) under uncultured bacterium. RNAcentral describes it as "partial 16S ribosomal RNA". It matches the Rfam family "Bacterial small subunit ribosomal RNA", at positions 524 to 776 of the family's 1533-position model. The record is from RNAcentral.
GACAGAGGCCUCAAGCGUUAGGCGGAAUCACUGGGCUUAAAGCGUGUGUAGGCGGAUCGUUAAGUGUCUUGUGAAAUCCCACGGCUCACCCGUGGAACUGCUGGGCAUACUGGCGAUCUUGGGCCAACUAGGGCAACUGGAACAAGCGGUGGAGCGGUGAAAUGCGUAGAUAUCGCUUGGAACGCCGAAGGUGAAAACAGGUUGCUGGGGUUGUGCCGACGCGUGAGACACGAAAGCCAGGGGAGCAAACGGG